RNAcentral lists this unclassified non-coding RNA (376 nucleotides) under uncultured bacterium. RNAcentral's name for it is "contains 16S-23S intergenic spacer region". The record is from RNAcentral.
UCCGGUUUGGCACCGGCAGUCUCCAAUGAGUUCCCGGCAUUACCCGCUGGCAGCAUUGGACAGGGGUUGCGCUCGUUGCGCCACUUAAGGCAACACCUCACGGCACGAGCUGACGACAACCAUGCACCACCUGUGAAGGUGCCCCGAAGGGAAGGCCUGUUUCCAGGCCGGUCACCUACAUGUCAAGCCCAGGUAAGGUUCUUCGCGUUGCGUCGAAUUAAACCACAUGCUCCACCGCUUGUGCGGGCCCCCGUCAAUUCCUUUGAGUUUCAACCUUGCGGCCGUACUCCCCAGGCGGGACGCUUAAUGCGUUAGCUGCGCCACUGAUAAGCAUGCUUACCAACGGCUAGCAUCCAUCGUUUACGGCGUGGACUAC